This 458-nucleotide ribosomal RNA is filed under the name uncultured bacterium. RNAcentral's name for it is "partial 16S ribosomal RNA". It matches the Rfam family "Bacterial small subunit ribosomal RNA", at positions 338 to 795 of the family's 1533-position model. The record is from RNAcentral.
CCUACGGGUGGCAGCAGUGGGGAAUAUUGCACAAUGGGGGAAACCCUGAUGCAGCGACGCCGCGUGAGUGAAGAAGUAUUUCGGUAUGUAAAGCUCUAUCAGCAGGGAAGAAAUAGCGACCUUUGGGUCGCCAGCCGGUACAUGAUUAAGAAGCCCCGGCUAACUACGUGCCAGCAGCCGCGGUAAUACGUAGGGGGCAAGAGUUAUCCGGAUUUACUGGGUGUAAAGGGAGCGUGGACGGCAGCGCAAGUCUGAAGUGAAAUGCCGGGGCUUAACCCCGGAACUGCUUUGGAAACUGGGCGACUAGAGUGCAGGAGAGGUAAGUGGAAUUCCUAGUGUAGCGGUGAAAUGCGUAGAUAUUAGGAAGAACACCAGUGGCGAAGGCGGCUUACUGGACUGUAACUGACGUUGAGGCUCGAAAGCGUGGGUAGCAAACAGGAUUAGAUACCCGGGUAGUC